RNAcentral lists this transfer RNA (58 nucleotides) under Corvus brachyrhynchos (American crow). It matches the Rfam family "tRNA", at positions 8 to 63 of the family's 71-position model. From Rfam's summary of the family: Transfer RNA (tRNA) molecules are approximately 80 nucleotides in length. Their secondary structure includes four short double-helical elements and three loops (D, anti-codon, and T loops). Further hydrogen bonds mediate the characteristic L-shaped molecular structure. tRNAs have two regions of fundamental functional importance: the anti-codon, which is responsible for specific mRNA codon recognition, and the 3' end, to which the tRNAs corresponding amino acid is attached (by aminoacyl-tRNA synthetases). tRNAs cope with the degeneracy of the genetic code in two manners: having more than one tRNA (with a specific anti-codon) for a particular amino acid; and 'wobble' base-pairing, i.e. permitting non-standard base-pairing at the 3rd anti-codon position. Lineage: Eukaryota; Metazoa; Chordata; Aves; Passeriformes; Corvidae. The record is from Rfam by way of RNAcentral.
UAGCUCAAUUGGUCAGAGCAUGGUGCUAACAACACCAUGGUUGUGGGUUCAAUCCCUC